GAGUUUGAUCGUGGCUCAGGAUGAACGCUGGCGGCGUGCCUAACACAUGCAAGUCGAGCGAAGCAUACAGGAGGAAGUUUUCGGAUGGAAUCCUGCAUGGCUGAGCGGCGGACGGGUGAGUAACGCGUGGGUAACCUGCCUUAUACAGGGGAUAACAGUUAGAAAUGACUGCUAAUACCGCAUAAGCGCACAGUACCGCAUGGUAGUGUGUGAAAAAACUCCGGUGGUAUAAGAUGGACCGCGUCUGACUAGCCAGUUGGCGAGGUAACGGCUCACCAAGGCGACGAUCAGUAGCUGGUCUGAGAGGAUGAUCCGCCACACUGGGAACUGAGACACGGCCCAGACUCCUACGGGAGGCAGCAGU
This 364-nucleotide ribosomal RNA is filed under the name uncultured microorganism. RNAcentral's name for it is "bacterial SSU rRNA". It matches the Rfam family "Bacterial small subunit ribosomal RNA", at positions 9 to 355 of the family's 1533-position model. The record is from RNAcentral.